RNAcentral lists this ribosomal RNA (490 nucleotides) under uncultured bacterium. RNAcentral describes it as "partial 16S ribosomal RNA". It matches the Rfam family "Bacterial small subunit ribosomal RNA", at positions 28 to 523 of the family's 1533-position model. The record is from RNAcentral.
GACGAACGCUGGCGGCGUGCUUAACACAUGCAAGUCGAGCGGUAAGGCUCCUUCGGGAGUACACGAGCGGCGAAAGGGUGAGUAACACGUGAGUAAUCUGCCCCGCACUUCGGGAUAAGCGCCGGAAACGGCGUCUAAUACCGAAUACGACCAGCCUUCGCAUGAGGUGCUGGUCGAAAGUCUUAUCGGUGCGGGAUGUGCUCGCGGCCUAUCAGCUCGUUGGUGAGGUAAGGGCUCACCAAGGCUUCGACGGGUAGCCGGCCUGAGAGGGUGACCGGCCACACGGGAGCGGAGACACCGCCGAGACUCCGUCGGGAGGCAGAGGUGUGGAAUAUUGGAGAAUGGGCGAAGUCCUGGUCCAUCAACGCCGCGUGAGGGAUGACUGCCUUCGGGUUGUAAACCUCUUGCAGUAGCGACGAAGCGCCUUUAACGGUGGUGACGGUAGAUACAGAAGAAGGACCGGCCAACUACGUGCCAGCAGCCGCCGUAA